UACGAGGGGGGCAAGCGUUGUUCGGAAUUAUUGGGCGUAAAGGGCGCGUAGGCGGUGCGGUAAGUCACCUGUGAAAACUCUGGGCUCAACUCAGAGCCUGCAGGCGAAACUGCCGUGCUUGAGUGUGGGAGAGGUGCGUGGAAUUCCCGGUGUAGCGGUGAAAUUCGUAGAUAUCGGGAGGAACACCAGUGGCGAAGGCGGCGAUCUGGGCAGAUACUGACGCUGAGGUGCGAAAGCGUGGGGAGCAAACAGG
Molecule: ribosomal RNA, 253 nt
Filed under: uncultured bacterium
Lineage: Bacteria
Description: partial 16S ribosomal RNA
Rfam family: Bacterial small subunit ribosomal RNA
Source: RNAcentral